GUGCAUGGCUUGUCCCCAUGUCACGUAGGGGUGUAUUUGAGUAUUUAGCCCAUUCUUGCUGAGCUCUGCACUCAAGGUCAGCUGAGGCUGCUUUCAAGCACUUGCCUUCCUGCUUGCAGGGAGACUGGAGGGGUGAAAUCAGGAAGGACAACUGAAGGGAUGUAGGGGGCAGGAGGCUUGAGGACAGUAUAAAACUUCGGUUGUGAAAGCCCAUGUCAGGUCACAGAAGGUGAUCUCAGAGGACAUUAAGACAGAGGUCGGUAGGGAGGGGUGAAUGCAGGGACCCUGACUGGGAGAGCCCCCCCCCCCCCCCCCAGGAUCCAGCCUGGAGCUGUGCUGCUGUCCUGUCCCAAGACCGCAGCAUUCCUGGGCGGAGCCCCUGCCCCUUACCUCUGUGCUCGCGAGGCUUUUACCUCCCCAAAACCUGCUUGCUCACCUCUGUCUCACUGCCCUGCUAAUAAGGUGGAACUGAAGGGGCAGAUACAUGAGAGUGGAAUAGGACUGGCUCUCCCCCACCUCCCACCCUGUGCACCCCCAGAUGCCAGCAGAUAGCCCCUCAGGUCCCUGCCUGUCAGAGCAGCACUGUGCUCAGGGUCAGGCCUGGCUAACUAGCUAAGUGCUGGCACAUACAUUAACCCCUACUCUGAGUCCAGCCCCCACCUAGUCUGUAAACUGGACAUGAUCGUCCCCCCAUGCAACAUCUCAGGGCCACUCUGGAGAUGAAAGGAGCUCUCUGUAGGGAGUUUGCUUUGAGAACUAUAAAGAUACAGGGGCUAUCUCGGACACUGCCCGUCACAUCUCCAAGGUCCUCCCUGCCAAGGGUCUGAGCCGCAGGUCUCUGGACAGCUCACCAUCUGGAGUGGGCACUGAAGCCAGGGGAAACUGGCCUUCAGAGCUGCCUCAGCCCAAAGCUCUGGGUCAGCAGGUGGCUCAUGGGGAGCCUUGCUGGGUCUCUGCCAUCAGUCCCUCCCAGGCCCCAAGGAAGGUGGGCUGUGUAGAGGCAGCACAAGUUCCCAGCACACUGACGUCCGUGACACGGCAGGCUGCACUGUCCCCCUGGGCGAGCCUGAGUCACAGCUCUCAGAACUAUUCCUUGUACAUACAGAAAGUGGCUCUUUUCAAAGCACUUCCCUUCCAAACCCAUGAGGAGGAAGGAGAAUGGAUUUUGCUAUUUUCAUCUUGGACAGGCUUUGUAAUGCUGCCUCCCUAAACAAUACCAUCACUGAGGGUCGCACAAUCAAGUUGCCAGAGCUGGCCUUGGGCAGGCUCCCUGUCACAUUGUCCUGGGAUGUCUGUUCAAGAGACCUUUAGACGCUGUACCAAGAAGGCCUUGCCUACAGGCACCGUGCCCCAGGGCUCUCUGUGACAGCAGUCACACAUGACUGGCAGGACCCAGCAGAGGACUGAAUAUGGGGAAAACAGAGGGGAAGACUCCUCUGGAGCCUCUAUCAAGGGCAGAAUGAGCAUUCCCCUACAUCCCUCCUGGAUGUGAGCUGUGGUGGCCUCACCUCACCUCGCAGUGCUGAACAGCUGAGGCCUCCUGUACCAGGGCUCCUUUGAGCGAGGGCCCCUCAGUCCUCUGCGCUGUGAGUGUGCCCUCUUCUCAGGCGUACUUGCAGGAAGAAGCUGGAGUAGCAUAUCAGCUGUGUCACAGGUGAGUGAGGGGAGGGACCCUGAGCAGGGGACAAGUGCAAGCUCAUGCCACCUUGCCUCGUGCAUCCCCACGCUUACUCUGCCCUCUCAUGCUUUGAGCACUUCACCCCCAAACGUCUGCAGGGACGUGCAGAGCUGACGCAAUCUCAUACGUACAUGUUGUUUUGCAUUGCCGUCCACUUUUGCAGUCACUCUUGUGUCAAGAGCGUACAUUGAAUGUCAUUUAAAAAGUGAACACCAUUUCAAUGCAUAUUGAAAGAAAAGCUGACAGAGCUAGAGCAUCUUAAAAGUCCUUUCAGUUCACUCUAAGAUUACCUGGCCAAGACAAGCAUUCUUCAUAAGGUAAUCAGCAAGCACCUGGCAGGUGGAACUUUCCCAGGAGCUGUGGAGAGAUGUGUUAUAGGUGUCUCAGUCCCAGAGUCAAUUCAAGACCUUUUUCUUUCUUUCACGAAGUGCUUUUGAAUCUGAGCAGAAUUCGCCUACUUCCUGGCUCUUCCCACUUUGCCAUCCCCCAGUCUCCCAUAGAAGUUCUAUUUGGUGCUACACUGCUGUGUGACCUUUGGUAAAUGAAUCACCCUCUCUGUUCCGCCUUAUCAGCUAGUGAGGCUAUGAGACUGCCCUUACUCGCAGACGGUUCUGGGGCUCAGUUAAUUAGUAUUUCGGAUGCACUUUGAUCUACUCUGAUGAAAGGUCCUUCCGAGGAGAGAAGCAAUAGGAGCCUUUAUUGGAGAUUGGAGGUAAUAAUUUCACACUCUUUCAUAUAACUAUUGGGGAAUUUUUAAUUGAAGCAUAAAAAUAAUUCCCAUAAAAGAGCAUCUGUUAUUACAAACUUAUUUACAUUUUUCACAGAGUAGAAAGUUUUAAAAAAUAAUCAGUUGAAAGCUUUUAAGAGGGUGGAAUGCCAAAGACCAGCACAUGUGCACAGCUACCCAGCCCCACAUCUGUCAGGCAGACUUCGCCCCACAGAGCCAUGUAAACAGCUGCCCUUCCUUUCAUGAGUACAGAAUGGGAUUACAGCAGAGCCGGCCAGUAAAUCACAGUGGGGUUUAGGAGGGGAAAUAAAAUAGCUUGUUUGUGGCAUCCAGUGUCUCCAGCAUAAAAGUCACAUUGGAAUUAAAACAAUAUAGAUGCAGACAUGUUGGUAAAUAGUUGUGGGAUCACAUUGUCUCAGCCUAGGCGCAGCGUCCCAGCAUGUGGAGGAUGACCAGCCUGUUGGCCCCAGGGGCGAAUUCUAUAGCCCACUGGAAGCAGUGAGACCCUGGGGUGUAACCCCAGCCUCUGGAAACCGCCUCUGGCAUCUGGACAUCCUGUCCUUGGGCAUCCUGCUCACAGUACUUACGCAUCCCCCUACUCCCUCGGCUGUUUGACAUUAGGGGGCGACCCCCCUCCGGAGGGGCAGUACUUAGGGAAUAGCUAGUUUGAGGCUUUGAUUAACUUCUCCUUAGAUUUAUGAGCCUAAAAGGAAAGGCAGUUUGCUUUCCUCAAGCUACCACUUAUGGGUAUUCAUUGAACCCCAAGCGCUGUGCUAAACCCUUUAAAACUCUUUUUAUCUGCAGUAUCUCAAAACAACCCUACCACGUGAGUAACACUAUUAAUUCUACUCAAAGGCAAAGUAACAGAAGCUUAGAGGGGUUAAGUCACUCACCAGAGGUCACACAGCAUGUACUCGGUAGAGCCAGAAUUUGCUUGGAGGUCCUUGGCUUCGGUGCUCACGAUAUGACGUACGUGGAACCCCUGCCCCCUUGGGGUCAACAGACCUACCUCCUCACAUCCCACUGGAAGAUCACCCCACUGCCUGUGCACUCUGUGCAUGGAUUUUAGGGAACCUUGGAAACACCACUUGAAACUGACCAGCCCAGGCAUAGCCAUCAGCCUCCCUAUCCCCUAGGUAUGGACCUUAGAAGAGAAGUAUCAAGGAGAGAAACAAAGUGAACUGGGGAGAAUUACUUAUUAACCCCCAAACAUGUGCGCCUUGGAGUGAGAGAAGGUGCCCCAUCUGAAGGAGUCCUGACCGAAACUGGCAGGUUGGCCCAGCACUUCGGACACCAACGGACCCACAGGCUCCUGGCAGAUUGAAGACUGUAGAUAUGCUGAAGAAGAAGAAAAAAAAAAAAACGCAUGGACACUGGCCUCU
Molecule: long non-coding RNA, 3787 nt
Organism: Camelus dromedarius (Arabian camel)
Lineage: Eukaryota; Metazoa; Chordata; Mammalia; Artiodactyla; Camelidae
Exons: 2
Source: RefSeq, a predicted model, not a curated record